ACUUUGAUUAUGGCUCGGGACGAUCGCUGGCGGCGCGCCUAACACAUGCAAGUCGAGCGGGAAGCUUUUUAAGGAUUCUUCGGAUGAAUUAAAAAGUGGAGAGCGGCGGACGGGUGAGUAACGCGUGAGAAACCUGCCCUAUACAGGGGGAUAGCCAUUGGAAACGAUGAUUAAUACCCCAUAUGACCACAGUAUCGCAUGAUACAGCGGUGAAAACUCCGGUGGUAUAGGAUGGUCUCGCGUCUGAUUAGCUAGUUGGUGGGGUAACGGCCUACCAAGGCGACGAUCAGUAGCCGGCCUGAGAGGGUGACCGGCCACACUGGAACUGAGACACGGUCCAAACUCCUACGGGAGGCAGCAGUGGGGAAUAUUGCACAAUGGGCGAAAGCCUGAUGCAGCGACGCCGCGUGAACGAUGAAGGCUUUCGAGUCGUAAAGUUCUGUUCUUGGGGAAGAUAACGACGGUACCCAAGGAGAAAGCACCGGCUAAAUACGUGCCAGCAGCCGCGGUA
RNAcentral lists this ribosomal RNA (511 nucleotides) under uncultured bacterium. Its description in RNAcentral is "bacterial SSU rRNA". It matches the Rfam family "Bacterial small subunit ribosomal RNA", at positions 10 to 522 of the family's 1533-position model. The record is from RNAcentral.